GACGAACGCUGGCGGCGUGCUUAACACAUGCAAGUCGAACGAGAGCGUAGAGAAAGCUUGCUUUAUCUACAAUCUAGUGGCAAACGGGUGAGUAACGCGUAAACAACCUGCCCUACGGAUGGGGACAACAGCUGGAAACGGCUGCUAAUACCGAAUACGUUCCGAAAGUCGCAUGACUAUCGGAAGAAAGGAUGGCCUCUAUUUAUAAGCUAUCGCCGGAGGAGGGGUUUGCGUCUGAUUAGCUAGUUGGAGGGGUAACGGCCCACUAAGGCGACGAUCAGUAGCCGGUCUGAGAGGAUGAACGGCCACAUUGGAACUGAGACACGGUCCAGACUCCUACGGGAGGCAGCAGUGGGGAAUCUUCCGCAAUGGGCGAAAGCCUGACGGAGCAACGCCGCGUGAGGGAAGACGGCCUUCGGGUUGUAAAGCUCUGUUAUACGGGACGAAUAAUCUUGUGGUUAAUACCCAUGAGAAGUGACGGUACCGUAAGAGAAAGCCACGGCUAACUACGUG
Molecule: ribosomal RNA, 513 nt
Filed under: uncultured bacterium
Lineage: Bacteria
Description: partial 16S ribosomal RNA
Rfam family: Bacterial small subunit ribosomal RNA
Source: RNAcentral